RNAcentral lists this ribosomal RNA (451 nucleotides) under uncultured bacterium. RNAcentral's name for it is "SSU rRNA". It matches the Rfam family "Bacterial small subunit ribosomal RNA", at positions 26 to 523 of the family's 1533-position model. The record is from RNAcentral.
AGAACGAACGCUGGCGGCAUGCCUAACACAUGCAAGUCGAACGAUGUCUUCGGACAUAGUGGCGCACGGGUGCGUAACGCGUGGGAAUCUGCCCUUGGGUUCGGAAUAACAGUGGGAAACUACUGCUAAUACCGGAUAAUAUCGCGAGAUCAAAGAUUUAUCGCCUGAGGAUGAGCCCGCGUAGGAUUAGCUAGUUGGUGGGGUAAUGGCCUACCAAGGCGACGAUCCUUAGCUGGUCUGAGAGGAUGAUCAGCCACACUGGGACUGAGACACGGCCCAGACUCCUACGGGAGGCAGCAGUGGGGAAUAUUGGACAAUGGGCGCAAGCCUGAUCCAGCAAUGCCGCGUGAGUGAUGAAGGCCUUAGGGUUGUAAAGCUCUUUUACCAGGGAUGAUAAUGACAGUACCUGGAGAAUAAGCUCCGGCUAACUCCGCGCCAGCAGCCGCGGUAA